CGAGUGGCGCACGGGUGCGUAACGCGUAUGCAAUCUACCUUUAACUGGUGAAUAGCCCGAAGAAAUUCGGAUUAAUACACCAUAGUAUAGUUGAGUGGCAUCACUUAACUAUUAAAACUCCGGUGGUUAAAGAUGAGCAUGCGUGACAUUAGCUAGUUGGUGAGGUAAUGGCUCACCAAGGCAACGAUGUCUAGGGGAUCUGAGAGGAUUAACCCCCACACUGGUACUGAGACACGGACCAGACUCCUACGGGAGGCAGCAGUAAGGAAUAUUGGACAAUGGUCGCAAGACUGAUCCAGCCAUGCCGCGUGAAGGAUGACGGCCCUAUGGGUUGUAAACUUCUUUUGUAUGGGAAAAAACCCCUCUACGUGUAGAGGGCUGAGGUACCAUAAGAUAAGGUCGGC
RNAcentral lists this ribosomal RNA (404 nucleotides) under uncultured bacterium. Its description in RNAcentral is "bacterial SSU rRNA". It matches the Rfam family "Bacterial small subunit ribosomal RNA", at positions 92 to 497 of the family's 1533-position model. The record is from RNAcentral.